This is a long non-coding RNA of Canis lupus familiaris (dog), 582 nucleotides long. RefSeq lists it as uncharacterized. NCBI's taxonomy places the organism in Eukaryota, Metazoa, Chordata, Mammalia, Carnivora, Canidae. The record is from RefSeq and is a predicted model, not a curated record. The transcript is spliced from 3 exons.
GCACCUACACGUGGGCCACGGGCUCCCCCGGUAGGCAGGGCUCCUCACCUGCCCCGUUUCCAGACCUUGAGCCUGGGGAGCCGGUGUGGCCGGGGUCACGGGUCACGGAGCUUCAAGGCGGGGGCGGGGCAGGGCCCAGCCUGACCCCGGUGUCUGGGCGGCAGCGUGCAGCCCGCCAGGGACGUUCAGAAUUCCCGAAGUGAGCGUUGGAGCUGGGGACAGUGACAUCCACCUGUUACAGAGCUGCUGACCAGACAGUGACCACUGGCCUCCAGGGAGCCCAGUCCAGCACCCUGACCUCCCCUCCCAGCGGGACUCCCGUGAUCGCGGCCACUGGGACCUUCAGCGCCUCUUUCUGUUGUGCGUACUCAUGGCCUGGAAUCAAUGAACUUCGUGUCUGGUCCUUGGAGAAGGCCUCCUGUUUGGCUGACCAGCCCGUGUCCUCCAUUGCUUGGGGGGGUUUCGAACCUGCUCCCGUCCCCGUCCGUGGUGCCCGACCUCUGCUGCAGCAUCCCGAUUGCAGCACCCAGACAUCGACCCAGAACAUCGUUAAGGCCUUCCCUCCAAUGACCCAAAAUAAAA